This 677-nucleotide ribosomal RNA is filed under the name Mononchoides iranicus. RNAcentral's name for it is "eukaryotic LSU rRNA". It matches the Rfam family "Eukaryotic large subunit ribosomal RNA", at positions 406 to 909 of the family's 3401-position model. The record is from RNAcentral. Lineage: Eukaryota; Metazoa; Nematoda; Chromadorea; Rhabditida; Neodiplogasteridae.
CACUGGUGGCAAAGCGGAUAGAGUUGAUUAAGCUGGUAGCAUUCAGUGCUGAGUGUGUUGCGGCUGUUGUGUGCCUGCUUUGCGGUCUGCGAGGCGGUGCAUGACUGGCUUGCGCGGCUUGGCGUGCAUUUGCGACUGGCUAACGCUGAGGCAUUCGGCUGCCCCUUCUGAAGUGUGCAGUGUUGCCCACCCUCGGGUGGUGUCUUGCUGUAUGCGGAGGUUGUUUGUGGCGGCUGGGUGUGCGUGAGCGCGAGCUUCGCCUUUGCGCAUGUGCUUGCUAGCGUGCGUCUGGUAGUAGCGAUGGCUUGCCACUUGUUGCUGCUAUGGCGUACGUGUUGUGGGUGCGUGCUUGCGAGCUCGUUCUCGGCGUGAACGUCAACCACCUAUCCGACCCGUCUUGAAACACGGACCAAGAAGUGUAGUAUUUGCGCGAGUCAUUGGGUGCAAAACCUAACGGCGAAAUGAAAGUAAAGCCUGCCUUGUGUAGGUGAUAUGUGAUCCGUGUGUCCUUGGACGCGCGGCGCAACAUAGCCCCAUGCCGGCUGCUUGCAGCGGUGUGGCGGUAGAGCGUAAAUACUGCGACCCGAAAGAUGGUGAACUAUGCCUGAGCAGGAUGAAGCCAAAGGAAACUCUGGUGGAAGUCCGAAGCGGUUCUGACGUGCAAAUCGAUCGUCUGA